RNAcentral lists this microRNA precursor (103 nucleotides) under Marmota monax (woodchuck). The record is from RNAcentral. Lineage: Eukaryota; Metazoa; Chordata; Mammalia; Rodentia; Sciuridae.
AAUGGGAUAACUGGGACAAAUGGUGGUUCCAUUCCAUGUUUUCUGUGGAAUAUCCAUACUGCUUUCCAGAGUGGUUGUACCAAUUUGCAGUGCCAUCAGCAAU